AAUUGAGUGCCUGACCAAAAGGAUUACCUUGAUAGGGUAAAUAAUGUAACUUGUUUACCUCAAUUA
Molecule: transfer RNA, 66 nt
Filed under: Lepidurus couesii
Lineage: Eukaryota; Metazoa; Arthropoda; Branchiopoda; Notostraca; Triopsidae
Description: tRNA-Ile
Source: RNAcentral